Molecule: ribosomal RNA, 246 nt
Filed under: uncultured bacterium
Lineage: Bacteria
Description: partial 16S ribosomal RNA
Rfam family: Bacterial small subunit ribosomal RNA
Source: RNAcentral
CGGUGACGUUAAGCAAAUCCCNGAAAUAACGUCCCAGUUCGGAUUGUAGUCUGCAACCCGACUACAUGAAGCUGGAAUCGCUAGUAAUCGCGAAUCAGAAUGUCGCGGUGAAUACGUUCCCGGGUCUUGUACACACCGCCCGUCACACCAUGGGAGUCGGAAAUGCCCGAAGUCAGUGACCCAACCGUAAGGAGGGAGCUGCCGAAGGUGGAGCCGGUAACUGGGGUGAAGUCGUAACAAGGUACC